This 532-nucleotide small RNA is filed under the name Histoplasma capsulatum var. duboisii H88. RNAcentral describes it as "Histoplasma capsulatum H88 hypothetical RNA". The record is from RNAcentral. Lineage: Eukaryota; Fungi; Ascomycota; Eurotiomycetes; Onygenales; Ajellomycetaceae.
CUUGUUCAGAAAUCGGCAUCGUACUUGUGUUGACUCGUCUGAUUCAUUGCCUUCAAUCAAAUGUAAGUGGUUUACCAAAAUUCAUCAAGAAGUUGACCAGGCAGGCAGGCAUACAUUGAAGUCACAGACAACAUUGUAUUUUCUUCUAUAGAAUUUCUGUACAUCUCUGUAACAGAAGUUUGACUAGCUUAUCUGAAUCUAUCUUUUUGACAGAUGCUAAUUUGAAUGAUUGGAUGGAUGAGAGCUAUGUUGAAGAUGAUGAAUACUCCUAGGUACAUGUGCAGUACAUACAUUUAGCAGCAUAAGACAAAAUCUGCGGCACUGAAAUGAUUGUGGCUAGAUUGGAAUUUCCUCAACCUUUCAAGCUCUAGGAGGACACAGCAACUAUACAAAUAGUCAAAUUGAAGCUAUAAAAUUUGUGUCAAUGAAAACGUGUCUGAACAUUGACCUUGGCAGUUAAUAGAAUAGUUGAAUGAAUUGGGAAGCUUGCCAAGACAUUUUUGUGUCAAUGUGUGAGAUGAGAUAUAGCUGG